UGAGUCGGCAAUUCUGCUCAGAAUAAG
Molecule: non-coding RNA, 27 nt
Filed under: Rattus norvegicus (Norway rat)
Lineage: Eukaryota; Metazoa; Chordata; Mammalia; Rodentia; Muridae
Source: RNAcentral